Molecule: ribosomal RNA, 515 nt
Filed under: uncultured archaeon
Lineage: Archaea
Description: bacterial SSU rRNA
Rfam family: Archaeal small subunit ribosomal RNA
Source: RNAcentral
AACCUUUACACUGCACGACAGUGCGAUAAGGGAAUCCCAAGUGCGUAGGUAUAGAGCCUACGCUUUUGUCCACCGUAGGGAGGUGGACGAAUAAGGGCUGGGCAAGACCGGUGCCAGCCGCCGCGGUAAUACCGGCAGCCCGAGUGAUGGCCGAUCUUAUUGGGCCUAAAGCGUCCGUAGCUGGCCGCGCAAGUCUAUCGGAAAAUCCACCCGCUCAACGGGUGGGCGUCCGGUAGAAACUGCGUGGCUUGGGACCGGAAGGCGCGACGGGUACGUCCGGGGUAGGAGUGAAAUCCCGUAAUCCUGGACGGACCGCCGAUGGCGAAAGCACGUCGCGAAGACGGAUCCGACAGUGAGGGACGAAAGCUAGGGUCUCGAACCGGAUUAGAUACCCGGGUAGUCCUAGCCGUAAACAAUGCCUGCUAGGCGUGGCUCCCACUACGAGUGGGUGCUGUGCCGUAGGGAAGCCGCUAAGCAGGCCGCCUGGGAAGUACGUCCGCAAGGAUGAAACUUAA